This 337-nucleotide ribosomal RNA is filed under the name uncultured Pseudomonadota bacterium. RNAcentral's name for it is "bacterial SSU rRNA". It matches the Rfam family "Bacterial small subunit ribosomal RNA", at positions 29 to 351 of the family's 1533-position model. The record is from RNAcentral. Lineage: Bacteria; Pseudomonadati; Pseudomonadota.
AACGAACGCUGGCGGCGUGCUUAACACAUGCAAGUCGAACGCGAAAGGGACUUCGGUCCUGAGUAAAGUGGCGCACGGGUGAGUAACGCGUGGAUAAUCUACCCAAUGAUCUGGGAUAACAUCUCGAAAGGGGUGCUAAUACCGGAUAAGACCACGGGAUCUCUGGAUUCUGCGGUAAAAGGUGGGGACCUUCGGGCCUUGCGCUAUCAGAUGAGCCUAGGUCGGAUUAGCUAGUUGGUGAGGUAAUGGCUCACCAAGGCGACGAUCCGUAACUGGUCUGAGAGGAUGAUCAGUCACACUGGAACUGAGACACGGUCCAGACUCCUACGGGAGGCAG